GUAACGGCCCACCAAGCCUGCGAUCAGUAACUGGUGUGAGAGCACGACCAGUCACACGGGCACUGAGACACGGGCCCGACUCCUACGGGAGGCAGCAGUAAGGAAUAUUGGUCAAUGGACGCAAGUCUGAACCAGCCAUGCCGCGUGAAGGAUGAAGGUCCUCUGGAUUGUAAACUUCUUUUAUAGGGGACGAAAAAAGGGAAUUCUUUCUCGUCUGACGGUACCCUAGGAAUAAGCACCGGCUAACUCCGUGCCAGCAGCCGCGGUAAUACGGAGGGUGCAAGCGUUAUCCGGAUUUACUGGGUUUAAAGGGUGCGUAGGUGGGUCUGUAAGUCAGUGGUGAAAUCUCCGGGCUUAACCCGGAAACUGCCAUUGAUACUAUAGGUCUUGAAUACUCUGGAGGUAAGCGGAAUAUGUCAUGUAGCGGUGAAAUGCUUAGAUAUGACAUAGAACACCAAUUGCGAAGGCAGCUUACUAC
Molecule: ribosomal RNA, 478 nt
Filed under: uncultured bacterium
Lineage: Bacteria
Description: bacterial SSU rRNA
Rfam family: Bacterial small subunit ribosomal RNA
Source: RNAcentral